This 564-nucleotide ribosomal RNA is filed under the name Lodderomyces parapsilosis. RNAcentral describes it as "LSU rRNA". It matches the Rfam family "Eukaryotic large subunit ribosomal RNA", at positions 87 to 667 of the family's 3401-position model. The record is from RNAcentral. Lineage: Eukaryota; Fungi; Ascomycota; Pichiomycetes; Serinales; Debaryomycetaceae.
CGGCGAGUGAAGCGGCAAAAGCUCAAAUUUGAAAUCUGGCACUUUCAGUGUCCGAGUUGUAAUUUGAAGAAGGUAUCUUUGGGUCUGGCUCUUGUCUAUGUUUCUUGGAACAGAACGUCACAGAGGGUGAGAAUCCCGUGCGAUGAGAUGUCCCAGACCUAUGUAAAGUUCCUUCGAAGAGUCGAGUUGUUUGGGAAUGCAGCUCUAAGUGGGUGGUAAAUUCCAUCUAAAGCUAAAUAUUGGCGAGAGACCGAUAGCGAACAAGUACAGUGAUGGAAAGAUGAAAAGAACUUUGAAAAGAGAGUGAAAAAGUACGUGAAAUUGUUGAAAGGGAAGGGCUUGAGAUCAGACUUGGUAUUUUGUAUGUUACUCUCUCGGGGGUGGCCUCUACAGUUUACCGGGCCAGCAUCAGUUUGAGCGGUAGGAUAAGUGCAAAGAAAUGUGGCACUGCUUCGGUAGUGUGUUAUAGUCUUUGUCGAUACUGCCAGCUUAGACUGAGGACUGCGGCUUCGGCCUAGGAUGUUGGCAUAAUGAUCUUAAGUCGCCCGUCUUGAAACACGGACC